ACAGAGGGCCCGAGCGUUAGUCGGAGUUACUGGGCGUAAAGGGCGUGCAGGCGGUUGGCUAAGUUCGUUGAGAAAGCGCCCAGGCUUAACCGGGCGAGGACAAUGAAGACUGGUCAGCUAGAGGACGGUAGAGGGGUGUGGAAUUCCGGGUGUAGUGGUGAAAUGCGUAGAGAUCCGGAGGAACACCAGAGGCGAAGGCGACACCCUGGGCCGUACCUGACGCUAAGACGCGACAGCACGGGGAGCGAACGG
This 252-nucleotide ribosomal RNA is filed under the name uncultured prokaryote. RNAcentral's name for it is "partial 16S ribosomal RNA". It matches the Rfam family "Bacterial small subunit ribosomal RNA", at positions 525 to 775 of the family's 1533-position model. The record is from RNAcentral.